RNAcentral lists this ribosomal RNA (254 nucleotides) under uncultured bacterium. RNAcentral's name for it is "partial 16S ribosomal RNA". It matches the Rfam family "Bacterial small subunit ribosomal RNA", at positions 1247 to 1500 of the family's 1533-position model. The record is from RNAcentral.
AAGCGAGGGCGUGAGCCGGAGCGAAUCCCAAAAAUAACGUCUCAGUUCGGACUGCAGGCUGCAACCCGCCUGCACGAAGCUGGAAUCGCUAGUAAUCGCGAAUCAGAAUGUCGCGGUGAAUACGUUCCCGGGUCUUGUACACACCGCCCGUCACACCAUGGGAGUCAGUAACGCCCGAAGUCAGUGACCUAACCGAGAGGGAGGAGCUGCCGAAGGCGGGACGGAUAACUGGGGUGAAGUCGUAACAAGGUAGC